UAGGGAAUAUUAGAAAUGGACGAAAGUCUGAUCUAGCAACACCGCGUGUGCGAAGAAGGCCUUCGGGUUGUAAAGCACUUUUUGGAAGGAUUAGGAAGGAAUGUACUUCCAGAAUAAGUCUCGGCUAACUACGUGCCAGCAGCCGCGGUAACACGUAGGAGGCAAACGUUAUCCGGAUUUACUGGGCGUAAAGCGCGUGUAGGUGGUUCUGUAAGUAGGGCGUGAAAGCUCCUGGCUCAACUGGGAGAGGCCGUUCUAAACUGCAGAGCUAGAGGAUGGUAGAGGGAGGUGGAAUUCCGGGUGUAGCGGUGGAAUGCGCAGAUAUCCGGAGGAACACCAGUGGCGAAAGCGGCCUCCUGGACCAUUCCUGACACUCAGACGCGAAAGCUAGGGUAGCAAA
RNAcentral lists this ribosomal RNA (400 nucleotides) under uncultured bacterium. RNAcentral describes it as "bacterial SSU rRNA". It matches the Rfam family "Bacterial small subunit ribosomal RNA", at positions 355 to 772 of the family's 1533-position model. The record is from RNAcentral.